AAAUGUACCUUAGUUUGUUUUGAAAUUGUAUAUUUUUCAGUGUUGAAAUUUUCUGGGUUUUUUCCCAAUACUUUUCAGUUUUAAUUUUAUUUUUGAUAGUAUAUUAAUCUGCUGCUUCUCCUUGGGUUUUGACUUUGAUACUUUUCUGAUGCUCAUUUUUGUUGACAUUAGUUGACUUGGACUUCUAGAAGAAGGCCCAGUGUAGAUAGCUUUUCUCUUUUCCCAGAGCUUCUUCCUCCUCUUGGUGUUUGCAUGUAGUGUUAAAAAUAUGGCCCCUUGAUUUCUGUGGUUAGCAGGCAGCAUAUCUGGUCACUUUAUAUGACUUCAUCUUUCUUUCAUUUUCUGUUGUCUCUGUUCUGCUCACAUUGGAUGUCACUUCCACUAGCUUCUCCUCAUUAUGGGGCCUUGUGCCAGAAGGGUGCCUUGGCAGGUCAGUUGUGAGGGUUCACAGAGGCUUGACUUCAUCAUGGGGCUCUGGUUUGGAGUGGCCAGAACCCCUGCAGUUUUAGCCACAUUCUCAAAGUGGCCCCCACACUUAGCAGUGAAUGUCUGUUGGUUAUUAGGGGAGUUUUCCUAUUUUCAGGUUAAGUCAAAGGCUGGUUGCAUUCCUCUAGUUUUUCCAUAACAUGCUGAUAAUAGACAGGUCUUGUGUCUCUUGGUUGAUUGUCCACAUCUGUGUGUAUUUUGGACUUGCUAGGGAUACCUUACUCCUCAUUUUUGUGUAAAUACUAUUAUUGGGUUUCUGAUUUUGCUCUGUCAUUGUUCUGUUGUUUUAAUGCUUUAGAAAUUUAGAGAGAUCCAUAAGUGAUGUUGCUAUUACUACCACCAUUUUGAGAAUUUUCAAGAUUCGUUCAUUUUGUAUGUACCAGUAGUCAUUACUCUUUGUUGCUGAGUUGUAUUCCAUGUUAUGAAUGCCACAGUUUACUUAUCCAUUCACCAGUUGAUGGACACUUUAUAAAAAGUUUUUGGGAAUCACAAGUAGAGGUAUAAAUGAGCAUUCAUGUACAGGUUUUUGUGUAGCCAUGUGUGUUCUUCUCUCUCAGGGAAAUGUCUAGGAGUAGCAUGGAAGGGUCAUGUGGCUUUCUUGUCUUUCUGUCAUUGAGCUGUGAAAGUUCAUGAAAGUUCUUUGUGUGUUCUGGUCACCAGUCCUGUAUCGUGUACCUAUUUUGCAGAUAUUUUCUCCUAGCUUGCAUUUUGUGUUUUCACAUUAUUAAUAAGGUUUUUCAAAGAGCAGGCAUUCUUAUCUUGGAGGAAGUUCUUUUUAUUUUUUUUAUGACUUGUACUCUGUGUCCUAUGAAAUCCUUGCUUAACCCAGAUCACAAAGAUUUUCUCAUAUCUCCUUCUAUAAGUUUUAUAGUUUUAGGUCUGAUUCCUUUUGGGUUAAUUUUUGGUGUAAGAAUGGAUUGAGGUUCCUUGUGUGUGUAUGCGUAUGGAUAUCUAGUUGUUUCUGCACCAGUUGUUGGGAAGUAAUUUGUUAUCUGUUGAAUUGCCUUGGAUCCUUUCUUGAAAACCAUUUGGCCAUAUAUGUGUGGAGAGGUUAUCUUUGAUAAGUUUAUUUCUGCAUUACUACGGGAGAAUUCCAGUAGAAUACAAGUUGAUUCCUGGAUUUGGUGGUUGCUUGGAAGGAAUUCUCAGUUGAUGGCUUCUGAAUGAAGUGUAAUUCAGAGGGAUGAGUAAAGUGAAGUUAAUGGGUAGUGAGAAUCAGAAGUUUAAGGAGAAAGGAGAAGGUAUGAAAGAGGUGUUUCAGAAAGGAGAGCAAGCAGGCUAGGAAGACAGUGAGAUUUUUUGAGCUGAGGGCCUAGUUUGAGGCUGGUAGCGGUACCAGCCAGUUGGUGUGUUUCACUAUAGCAAUGUCUAACAUUGUUUGGAUACAGGCACAGGGAAGGUGGCAUUUGUGUUCAUCCAGAUUUAGGGCUUUUCACAGGCAGGCGUGAAAGAGAAAUAGGAAAUUCAGUCAGUAAAAAUAUUUGUCUUGAAUGGGCAAUACUUUGUCUUAGUUCGAAAAUCAAAUACAUAAAAAACCAUACAUUGAAAAAGUUCCUCCCAGGGCUUUGCCUCUCCAUUUCAUUUCCUCUUCCCUACAGGCCCUCACUUUUAUGUUUCCCUUUGCAGUGUUUAUUUAUGCAUCUACAGCAGCCACCACUAUAUUUAUCCAUCCCCCUAAUUCCUUACACAAAAUGCAGUAUACAACGUAUAGUUCUGCACUUUGCUCUUUAAAUUUUACUUAAUACUAUAUCCUUUUGAUCAUAGGAUAUUAACCUAUUAGUUAGUAGUUAAGAACUUUUGAGUCAUCUUAGUGAUGGAUUUACCAAAUUAUUUUUAGCAGUUUUGUUUGGAAUGUAAAAUAAUUUUUUAAAUGCUUUCUUUCAAGUUCUUUCAGUGUGCAUAUGCUACUUUCAUUAUUAGUAAAUUUAAAAAGUUAAACUUGGUUCUUCGAAUCUAUUCUGUGCCACUGCUCUUCUAAGCACUGAGGUGUCUAGUAAAUAAAAUAGGCAGGGUUCUGCUUUCAUGGCCCUUGCAUUUUAGCGUGGGCCAAUAGUCACCAAAUAAAAUAGGCAAUCAUGACGUUAUAUUUGCAGAAAAUUGAAAUAAGAACCAUGGGAUUCCAGGGAAAGCCUCCUCCAAGAGGGGAGCAUUUAGGUUGAUGUCAGUGAUAACAAAGAGCAGAUCAUGAUUAGGGAAGAACAGUGUGCUAGGCGAAGGAGUGAGCUGCUGCCAAAGCCCUAAAGUAAGAUUAAACUUGAUGUUUUCAAGAAACAGAAAUAAGGCCAGUAUGUCUAGAACCUCCUGAGAGGGAGAGUGGUAUGAGAUGAAGCAGAGGUCAGUUCUUAUCUGGUAAUCAGGGAGAAGAAUGAGGAUUUUAAGUGCAAUGGGAAACCAUUGAAGAGUUUUAAGUUAUUAGAAAGAAAACAGAGCUAUAGAAAAGGCUAAAGUUGACAGGUGGGUAGAAAGGGAACCUAGAAAGCCGAGUUAGAGGCAAGUUUCAAGAAACCCUGCAGUGCUUAAUGCAUCAGGUGGGUGCUUAGGUUGAGGACUAGAAAAAAAGUUUUAUUAAUUUGUUUUUAUGGUGCACUCUAAAUGUAAUCACUUCAAACAUAACUCCAAAUUUAAAAGAUAAGUUUUAGAUCAAUAUAUAGUUUGAAUUCCAAAUUGAAGGAAGCAGUUUUUGAAGAUGUGAUUUCAAGUGUGCAUUUAAAAACUAUUUUCUAUUUUAGAAUAAAGAAUUAGCACUUCAUUGUUCACCUCUAGUAUUAUUAUGCUGAUGAUUCAGGAAAUCUAUUGUUUAAAUUGGCGUUGAAACGCAAAUUUUUCUGACUGAUUUAAAAAUCACAUUUAGCAUAAAAAAAAUAAACAACUUGCUGUAAGGAUUUGUCUUUACUACUACAUCCUAAAUGGAGACAUAACUUUGAACGUACUCUUAUAAAUAGGAAAAAGUAAAAUUCUGAUCUUAAGAAUGAGUGAUUGGGUCCUUAACUUUUUGUAAUCUAUAAUUCCUUCAGUUCUGAAAUCCUUAUCGGUCAUUGUUGUACUUUGGAACUACUUUAUAUCAGAAACCAGUGCUGACUUUUGUCAGGGAGAAUAUCUUUUAAAAAGAUCUUCAGAUAUAUCAGCAUUUUUCUUCA
Phyllostomus discolor (pale spear-nosed bat) is the source of this 3623-nucleotide long non-coding RNA. RefSeq lists it as uncharacterized. Lineage: Eukaryota; Metazoa; Chordata; Mammalia; Chiroptera; Phyllostomidae. The record is from RefSeq and is a predicted model, not a curated record. The transcript has 2 exons.